AGUGAACGCUGGCGGUAGGCCUAACACAUGCAAGUCGAACGGCAGCACAGUAAGAGCUUGCUCUUACGGGUGGCGAGUGGCGGACGGGUGAGGAAUACAUCGGAAUCUACUUUUUCGUGGGGGAUAACGUAGGGAAACUUACGCUAAUACCGCAUACGACCUACGGGUGAAAGCAGGGGAUCUUCGGACCUUGCGCGAUUGAAUGAGCCGAUGUCGGAUUAGCUAGUUGGCGGGGUAAAGGCCCACCAAGGCGACGAUCCGUAGCUGGUCUGAGAGGAUGAUCAGCCACACUGGAACUGAGACACGGUCCAGACUCCUACGGGAGGCAGCAGUGGGGAAUAUUGGACAAUGGGCGCAAGCCUGAUCCAGCCAUGCCGCGUGGGUGAAGAAGGCCUUCGGGUUGUAAAGCCCUUUUGUUGGGAAAGAAAAGCAGCAGGUUAAUACCCCGCUGUCCUGACGGUACCCAAAGAAUAAGCACCGGCUAACUUCGUG
This 492-nucleotide ribosomal RNA is filed under the name uncultured bacterium. Its description in RNAcentral is "partial 16S ribosomal RNA". It matches the Rfam family "Bacterial small subunit ribosomal RNA", at positions 29 to 507 of the family's 1533-position model. The record is from RNAcentral.